GAUUAAGCCAUGCAUGUGUAAGCACAUGCCUUAAAAUGGUAAAGCCGCGAAUGGCUCGGUAUAACAGCCACCGUUUAUUAAACGUUAGUUAUCUACUCGGAUAACUGUGGCAAUUCUAGAGCUAAUACGUGCACGAAGGCUCGGACCUUAUGGGAAGAGCGCAUUUAUUAGACCAAAACCAAUCGAGCUUCGGCUUGUGUUUUGGUGACUCUGAAUAACUUAGUCGAUCGCACAGUCUUAGUACUGGCGACGUAUUUUUCAAAUGUCUGCCUUAUCAACUUUCGAUGGUAGGUUAUACGCCUACCAUGGUUAUAACGGGUAACGGAGAAUAAGGGUUCGACUCCGGAGAGGGAGCCUGAGAAAUGGCUACCACAUCCAAGGAAGGCAGCAGGCGCGCAAAUUACCCAAUCCCAGAACGGGGAGGUAGUGACGAAAAAUAACGAGGUAGUCCACUUUGUGGCCUGCCAUCGGAAUGGGUACAAUUUAAAUCUUUUAACGAGGAUCUAUUAGAGGGCAAGUCUGGUGCCAGCAGCCGCGGUAAUUCCAGCUCUAAUAGCGUAUAUUAAAGUUGUUGUGGUUAAAACGCCCGUAGUUGGAUUUUCGGUCUUGAAGCUCGGUAGCUCGUAAGGGUUUAACUGAGUCUUCUGGCCUAAAUUUUAGUUUUCUCCUGAUGCUCUUUAUUGAGUGUCUUGAGUAGCUAGAACGUUUACUUUGAAAAAAUUAGAGUGCUAAAAGCAGGCUAUAUGCUUGAAUAAAGUGCAUGGAAUAAUGGAAUAGGACUUUAGUUUUAUUUUGUUGGUUUUCGAAAUUAAAGUAAUGAUUAAGAGGAACAGACGGGGGCAUUAGUA
RNAcentral lists this ribosomal RNA (848 nucleotides) under Prionchulus jonkershoekensis. RNAcentral's name for it is "SSU rRNA". It matches the Rfam family "Eukaryotic small subunit ribosomal RNA", at positions 42 to 896 of the family's 1831-position model. Lineage: Eukaryota; Metazoa; Nematoda; Enoplea; Mononchida; Mononchidae. The record is from RNAcentral.